Molecule: long non-coding RNA, 911 nt
Filed under: Homo sapiens (human)
Lineage: Eukaryota; Metazoa; Chordata; Mammalia; Primates; Hominidae
Description: HSALNT0126668
Source: RNAcentral
CUGAUCCCAACCCGCUGCCGCUGCACCCCGCAACCCCCGGAGUUACCCCCGGCCUCACCCUACAUCCUUAACUUCCACUUUGCUGGGGUCCAGCUCCACGUACUUCUUCUCCUCAAACACCUUGUUGAUGAUGGGGCCCAGGACGCCGUGCAGGUACUGCAUCCCGGCCACCUGGGGACCACCGCAGGUCACAUUGAUCCUGUCUCCCCCAGUCCCACUCCAGCUGCCCACCUUCUCCCGGCAGCCGCCCUUGCACCGUUUGCCUGCCGUAUCCGCCCAGGAGGGGGCCAGGUACACAUGCAGGGCAAACUGUUUAUUCAUGAAUGAAUGAAUGAGUGAGUGAAUGAAUGACUAGAAUUCUUAACCUUAAAGGGCUCUGAAUAUGGAGAUAGAACACUGGAGUCGAAGUCCCAGCCCCCUCUGUCGCUCUCUCUGAAGCUCAGUGACUACUCCAGUAUUAAAUGAUGCAUGUAUAAAGUUAGUCACUCUAUCAUUAUCUGUAAUAGCAGAUGAUUGGAAAUGACCUAAAUGUCUCAUAAUAAGGAACUAGUUUUAAAAAGCAUGUUCCAUUCAUGCCUUGAAAUACUAUACAUUGAAAAAAUAAAAAUUGUAUAAAUAUGUGAAAAAAACAGUGUGUAUAUUAUACUACGACUUACUUCUUUGUGCAUAGAUGUUCUACAAGGCUAUAUAAAAGAUUGUUAAUUAUGGUUGUCUCUUGGGAGGGGGAGUUUAGAUUGUAUAAUGGGGUAGAAGGCUGACUUUUCGUUGUUUACUAUUCUGCACCUUCUGGAUUUUGUACUAUGUAUAUAUUUUAUAUAUUAAAAUAGCUUUAUAUAAAUAAAACUAGCCCCAUGGCUGAAUAAAUUUUAUUACAAUUUUCUUAUGAUUCCCUGAUACUCUGUUCCUUAACU